This is a long non-coding RNA of Aegilops tauschii subsp. strangulata, 3480 nucleotides long. RefSeq lists it as uncharacterized. Lineage: Eukaryota; Viridiplantae; Streptophyta; Magnoliopsida; Poales; Poaceae. The record is from RefSeq and is a predicted model, not a curated record.
AACUGCCGCCCAUGUACCCAGAGUCGAGUACGGAGAUCGUGGACAUCUCUGAUGAGGACUAGGGUAAUGCGGAUUAUUUAAUCUAUGUAGUACGCAAGUUUUCCUCUUUUGCAUGUUUUGUAUGGAUUUAAGGUUUGAAGCAUAAGGUAUCAGAUGCGAGCAAAUUUGAGGUGUGGCCGGUCAUUUCCGCAAACACGCCCGGGGUGGGUCCACGGGCUUCUGAGAGCCCGGAUUUGUUGUUUGCGGCUAUAGAUGCUCAUACUCAGUUUGUGUGCGUGUGUUACGUGGCGUCCAAUAUUUUCCUAAAACCGUGUUGUCGUAUAUGGGACACCAUUCACAUCCCUUGAGCCCUUCUUUUCUCAGCGGUCCGACCAAGAUCUAACACUCCACAAGCAUCUAUUCUGGACAAAUUGCCCUAAAAAGUAUUUCGGAUGAAACCGGCUUCCACUUAAAUGCCCAAGCUGACAAUCUGUACUUUUUUAAUCACCGACGGCAAUCUCGAUCAAUUCGAUGCCUCUAGUAGCAUCACCUUGUCCUCUCCCCCUUAUUUCACACAGUGUGCGCAUUUCCUUCAAUCCCGUACGGAUUUACUUCUUAGGUCCCACUAUCAAAGACUAUUUGUUGGCUAUAAUUAUUUGACACCUUCGUCCCCGAACCCCGUGUCGCUCCCCAUGGGGCGAGGAGUAGCAAACCUAACCCUAGCCUCCAGGCCUCUGCCACCACCACUCCCUUCUCACCGCCACGUUGUCGGUGGGAAAGCCCACGCGGCGACCAAGGACGGCAGCGGAGGGACAUCUUGGGUUUCUUCUUCUAGUCGUUUGGGCGCGUGUGUUCUAGCUGAGCAUGGUUUCUUGGUGUUGCUUCGAUGGAUUUCCAGGGGUCAUGUCGAGAUGCAAUGGUUGCUGUAUCAGGUUAAUUCAGUCAUUUAGCAAGGUUCCAUUGCAGAAGACAUAAUGGUACAAAGUUUAACCAAUCAAGCAGUGGCCGACCCAAGAUUGGGACGAACAAGGGUUAUUGUUGGGUUAUUCAAUGGAGCAAGGUACCUCACCUACUCAUCACUAGCGACUGCGAAGCUAUCAAGCAUUGUCAUCGUCCUCGCCCUGGCUAACCUCAACCUCUGAGUUCGCCAUUAUAACCAAGUACAGCUCCUAAACUUGUUGGCCACCUAGUCAUACGCUAGGCAUAUGUAUGGAUCUUAAAAGUAGGCAACAUGUGGCUCUUAGGGUUCAAGUGUUGCCAUCUUCCAAGUUAUUGAAUGAUGUUACAAAACUGACUGGCCACAGAUGAAUGCGAAACAGAAAAAAACCCAGAUUCACCAACCAUACAUUAUCAACCAUUAAUGGUGCCACAGUGUACAGAAGAUUUAAUUGGCUUGUAGCAUGUGCAUUAUGUGUACGCCAUUCAAUGAUAAUCUACUUACUGUCCUAUUCACCUAGUACUAGCCAAAGAGAACCACACUCAAAAUAACCUGCAAAGGGACCCAGUAUGAUCUCAUUUGAUAUGACAAAAAUAAUCCAUGUGUGUAUAAGCAUAAACAAGAUGUCUGAGAUCUACCAACCAUUCCCCUACAACAUAGUAAAGCUUAACAAUUUCCACCAUAAUCAAGACUGUAGGGGAAGUAAGAAUAACUGAAGUUGUUGCAAAUUAGCUUGUACUUAUGGGGGGACAUAUUUCCAUGUAUAGAACAGCAUACACAUAGCAAUUAUCAACAGUAGGAAUCAUGCAGCCUCACAACAAUAUGAGAAUUAUCUCACUAUCAACAUUGUCUCGUACAAGCAUGAGCUUUAUCACGCCAUUUUUUCAGAUACAACUUCCUGGAUAUCAACAUGGCUCCCAGAGUGACCAGUAAAUUACACUGUACUAUAUUUAUAACAAGCAAAAUUUUAGAGUUACUUCUCAAGACCGAAUUUACGCCUGUCGCAAACAAUACCAAAUGACGGUGUAUGUUAUUCAUGUAUCCAAACUAAACAGUUGAACAGAUAUUGGGAGCCAAAUUUUGACUGAACGAAACCCGAAACUGCAUCCAUUUGGGCUAGAGGAAGUGCUAGGAAACAAUUAUAACCAUAUACCAAUGUUCUUAUGGUGGUAAGGUGUCCCAAGGCAAGCACUCACCGCCUUGAUGCCUAAGCGCCUAAGGUGGUUAAAAUUCUAAGGUGCUGCCUAUGUCCAAAGCGGGAUGCCUUAAAAACAAUGCCAUAUGCACCUUCUUAUUUGAAAAUAAGUGGCAUUUGAAUCCGAAACUAUUAGGCAUGCUUUCACCGUAAGUGACAUUUAAGAUAUGACCUAUUCACUGAAACAUCCAAGCUGUUACUCUAGUACCGACUAUACCAACAAAUGCACAUCAGAACAGUGUUAGAUCAUAUUGGACAUCUGAGUUGUUCUCCGUCUUAGUUUACUUACCCAUACCCAAUGUAUCCACAAACCAUUGUGCAUUCACUACCGGUAUUUUCAAAAUACAUCUUUCUAUUACAUCUUAGUACCACGUUCAUGUACGAAAGGGGAAUACCAGUCUACAUAAUCAGAUAGAAUGUACUUACUAAUGUACUCCCUUUGUAAAGAAAUAUAAGAUCAUUUAGAUCACUAAGAAAAAAACAAUUUGAUAUAAGAUGUAUCGGUAAAAACAUAGUUCAUCUUUCAGGUACAUGACAAAAUAAAAACCAAUACAGCAAACAAGUAAAAUUGUCAGGAUGUCACAACAUACUAUAUAUAGUAUCUUCGAUGCUAUUCAUUUCCACGCCCUCAGGGUAGCUAUCAAACUCCUUGGUGAAAGUGAAAUGAACGACCUCACUCUUUUCUCAGUCCAGAGCUCACAGGAGUCCCAUCGAUGGCCUUAUGAGAUUCACAUGGACCGUGGUGGCUCCAAAACGUGCACAAAGUCAGCAUGAAACAAGCUGGACCCAGUAUGGAGAUUGGGUGAGUCUGCAAAGCUGGUAGGCGGGGGACCUUACAAGUAGAUUUGAAAGAGACAAAACAAACUGAGCUAACAAAGUGCAACGAGGGGAGAGGGUAACGUGGCGCAACUAGAGCCAUCAAAUCGAGAUUGUGGGCAGAGAUUAGAAAUUAUAGAUUGUCAACUUUGGCAUUUAAGUGGAAGCUAGUUUUGAUCGCCCCUGGAGCGUUAGAUCUUGGAGCGACGGCUGAGAAAAGGAAGGCUCGAAGGAUAUUAGUGUUGUCCCAUAUUGGAAGUUCCGUGUGCUGUACAAACCCUAUAAGUCCAAAUCCCGAUGGUUUUGGACGUAUCUAUGGCGACAUCCACCCCUGCAAUAAGGAAUCCUCAAUCAUACCCACCCCCGAUCCAGAUCCCAGUCGUCUAGUUUCGUCACACGGCCCCUGCCUCAUGGACGGUUUAGGCCUUGUGUCAAGUAAAACUAGGCAGUAGUACUUCUAAAUCUGCAAUGUACUUAUGUCUUGUGAUGUACUCCAAUGGCAAACAAUUAUGUAAUGCACACAGUCGAUCAUGAUGUGUAUUUAUGACUGUUA